AUCCAGCCGACAAGUCCCAAACAGGAUGAAACGCGUGUCCUGGAU
RNAcentral lists this non-coding RNA (45 nucleotides) under Schistosoma mattheei. Lineage: Eukaryota; Metazoa; Platyhelminthes; Trematoda; Strigeidida; Schistosomatidae. The record is from RNAcentral.